This 415-nucleotide ribosomal RNA is filed under the name uncultured prokaryote. RNAcentral's name for it is "bacterial SSU rRNA". It matches the Rfam family "Bacterial small subunit ribosomal RNA", at positions 505 to 918 of the family's 1533-position model. The record is from RNAcentral.
GUGUCAGCCGCCGCGGUAAUACGUAGAAGGCGAACGUUAUCCGGAUUUACUGGGCGUAAAGAGAGCGUAGGCGGCUCUUCAAGUCAAGUGUGAAAUCUUCUGACUCAAUCGGAAGGCGCCAUUUGAUACUAAAGGGCUUGAGGGCAGCAGAAGGAAACGGAAUUCCCAGUGUAGCGGUGAAAUGCGUUGAUAUUGGGAAGAACACCAGUGGCGAAGGCGGUUUCCUAGGUUGUUACUGACGCUGAGGCUCGAAAGCGUGGGGAGCAAAGCGGAUUAGAUACCCGUGUAGUCCACGCCUUAAACGGUGGACACUAGAUGUGGGAAGUAUCGACCCUUUCCGUGUCGAAGCUAACGCUUUAAGUGUCCCGCCUGGGGAGUACGGCCGCAAGGCUAAAACUUAAAUGAAUUGGCGGGG